Long non-coding RNA from Oreochromis niloticus (Nile tilapia), 498 nucleotides. RefSeq lists it as uncharacterized. The record is from RefSeq and is a predicted model, not a curated record. Lineage: Eukaryota; Metazoa; Chordata; Actinopteri; Cichliformes; Cichlidae. The transcript is spliced from 4 exons.
AUUAUUCACAGGAACCCACCUGGACCUCCACCCAGCUCUGUGUCCUUACAGAGUGAGGCGCCUGGAGGUUUCCUCAUUGAUUUUAAAGUCUCUGCUGCAGAGAGAGGUCAGAGGUCACAGUCUGCAGGAUCCAGGUGUCCAUCUGUGAGGAGUGACUGGUCCAAACAUGACCCUCCACACUUCAGUGAUGAACCUGGACCAACGAGACAGUGCAUCUGCUCAUACUGGGACCAGUCUGCUUCAUCAGGAGACUGCUCCUGUCCCCAGUGUGGAGAAAGAUCCAGAACGAGAGCUGGACUGCAGACAGCCAGUCAGAGCAGCUGUGUACAAACAGAUGUUUGUCUGCAGGAGGUUAUAGAUGAACAUAAGAUCAGUCUGAGGAGGAGAUGUGAACGUGUGACUGAAGGAAGUGAUGAAACAGGAAGUAGAACCCUCCUCAACAGGAUCUACACUGAGCUCUACAUCACAGAGGGACAGAGUGAAGAGGUUCAUACCCAA